This 458-nucleotide ribosomal RNA is filed under the name uncultured bacterium. RNAcentral's name for it is "partial 16S ribosomal RNA". It matches the Rfam family "Bacterial small subunit ribosomal RNA", at positions 338 to 795 of the family's 1533-position model. The record is from RNAcentral.
CCUACGGGGGGCAGCAGUGAGGAAUAUUGGUCAAUGGGCGAGAGCCUGAACCAGCCAAGUCGCGUGAGGGAGUACUGCCCUAUGGGUUGUAAACCUCUUUUGUCGGGGAGCAAAAGCCGGACGUGUCCGGCUGUGAGAGUACCCGAAGAAAAAGCAUCGGCUAACUCCGUGCCAGCAGCCGCGGUAAUACGGAGGAUGCGAGCGUUAUCCGGAUUUAUUGGGUUUAAAGGGUGCGGAGGCGGAUUUUUAAGUCAGCGGUAAAAUCGUGGGGCUCAACCCCAUCCAGCCGUUGAAACUGGGGAUCUAGAGUGUGCGAGAGGUAGGCGGAAUGCGUGGUGUAGCGGUGAAAUGCAUAGAUAUCACGCAGAACCCCGAUUGCGAAGGCAGCAUACCGGUGCACAACUGACGCUCAGGCACGAAAGCGUGGGUAUCGAACAGGAUUAGAUACCCCGGUAGUC